AACGAACGCUGGCGGCAUGCCUAACACAUGCAAGUCGAACGAGACCUUCGGGUCUAGUGGCGCACGGGUGCGUAACGCGUGGGAACCUGCCCUUAGGUUCGGAAUAACUCCCCGAAAGGGGUGCUAAUACCGGAUAAUGUCUUCGGACCAAAGAUUUAUCGCCUUUGGAUGGGCCCGCGUUGGAUUAGCUAGUUGGUAGGGUAAAAGCCUACCAAGGCGACGAUCCAUAGCUGGUCUGAGAGGAUGAUCAGCCACACUGGGACUGAGACACGGCCCAGACUCCGACGGGAAGCAGCAGUGGGGAAUAGUGGACAAUGGGCGAAAGGCUGAUACAGCAAUGCCGCGGGAGUGAUGAAGGCCUUAGGGUUGUAAAGCUCUUUUACCCGGGAUGAUAAUGACAGUACCGGGAGAAUAAGCUCCGGCUAACUCCGUG
RNAcentral lists this ribosomal RNA (433 nucleotides) under uncultured bacterium. Its description in RNAcentral is "partial 16S ribosomal RNA". It matches the Rfam family "Bacterial small subunit ribosomal RNA", at positions 29 to 507 of the family's 1533-position model. The record is from RNAcentral.